Molecule: ribosomal RNA, 206 nt
Filed under: alpha proteobacterium enrichment culture clone AB8
Lineage: Bacteria; Pseudomonadati; Pseudomonadota; Alphaproteobacteria
Description: partial 16S ribosomal RNA
Rfam family: Bacterial small subunit ribosomal RNA
Source: RNAcentral
GGGAGGCAGCAGUGGGAAAUAUUGGACAAUGGGCGCAAGCCUGAUCCAGCCCUGCCGCGUGAGUGAUGAACGCCUUAGGGUUGUAAAGCUCUUUCCCCGGAAAAAAUAAUGACGGUAUCCGGAGAAAAAGCCCCGGCUAACUUCGUGCCAGCAGCCGCGGUAAUACGAAGGGGGCUAGCGUUGUUCGGAAUUACUGGGCGUAAAGC